UGACUCACACUGCUCUUGCAUUGGUCACAUCAAACAUUGUGUUUGUGAUUGUCAUCAUUCUACUGACAUGUGGGAUAUGCAAUGAAAGGACCAGGGGGCCUAAAGAUGCAACUGAUAGAUCACCAACCCCACCAGUUGAUCAGAACCAAGACAGUGACAUGGUAAACUAUGCAGCUGUGAGUUUCACCACCAAGAAAAGCUCCUCCUCCAGAAGAGAGAGAGCCAAGACCAGCAGAGAGGAUGCAGAGCACUCUGAGGUCAGGUUCUUUCAGCAGGAGUGAGACAUGUGAAGACCCUCACCACAUUGAACAGAAACUACAUCCAUAUACGUUAGAAAUAACUUUGAAGGCCUUGUGAUGACUGGUAAAACAACUGCUUUUAGUGCAUAAAUAACAUCUAAGUAAACUAGGAAAUAGCUCUACUUGUAACCUAGAAAAGCGACUUGUACAGAAUGCACUAAACA
This is a long non-coding RNA of Coregonus clupeaformis (lake whitefish), 463 nucleotides long. RefSeq lists it as uncharacterized. NCBI's taxonomy places the organism in Eukaryota, Metazoa, Chordata, Actinopteri, Salmoniformes, Salmonidae. The record is from RefSeq and is a predicted model, not a curated record. The transcript has 3 exons.